CCCCUGGUAGUUUAAUGGUAAAACGGCAUCCUUAUAAGGUGUAACGAUAGAUAAUCGGUUGAUGCGGGUUCGACUCCCGCCCGGGGGACCA
RNAcentral lists this transfer RNA (91 nucleotides) under Gammaproteobacteria bacterium. RNAcentral describes it as "tRNA-Ile". It matches the Rfam family "tRNA". From Rfam's summary of the family: Transfer RNA (tRNA) molecules are approximately 80 nucleotides in length. Their secondary structure includes four short double-helical elements and three loops (D, anti-codon, and T loops). Further hydrogen bonds mediate the characteristic L-shaped molecular structure. tRNAs have two regions of fundamental functional importance: the anti-codon, which is responsible for specific mRNA codon recognition, and the 3' end, to which the tRNAs corresponding amino acid is attached (by aminoacyl-tRNA synthetases). tRNAs cope with the degeneracy of the genetic code in two manners: having more than one tRNA (with a specific anti-codon) for a particular amino acid; and 'wobble' base-pairing, i.e. permitting non-standard base-pairing at the 3rd anti-codon position. The record is from RNAcentral. Lineage: Bacteria; Pseudomonadati; Pseudomonadota; Gammaproteobacteria.